Molecule: ribosomal RNA, 537 nt
Filed under: uncultured archaeon
Lineage: Archaea
Description: bacterial SSU rRNA
Rfam family: Bacterial small subunit ribosomal RNA
Source: RNAcentral
CAGCAGCCGCGGUAAUACAUAGGGGGCAAGCGUUAUCCGGAAUUAUUGGGCGUAAAGGGUGCGUAGGCGGCUUCUUAAGUCUGAUGUGAAAUCCCACAGCUUAACUGUGGGCGGUCAUUGGAAACUGGGGAGCUUGAGUACAGCAGAGGUAAGUGGAAUUUCAAGUGGAGCGGUGGAAUGCGUAGAUAUUUGAAGGAACACCAGUGGCGAAGGCGGCUUACUGGGCUGGAACUGACGCUGAUGCACGAAAGCGUGGGGAGCAAACAGGAUUAGAUACCCUGGUAGUCCACGCCGUAAACGUUGAGCACUAAGUAUCGGAUGAGAAUUCGGUGCUGCAGUUAACACAUUAAGUGCUCCGCCUGGGGAGUACGGUCGCAAGACUGAAACUCAAAGGAAUUGACGGGAACUCGCACAAGCGGUGGAGCAUGCGGUUUAAUUCGAUGCAACGCGAAGAACCUUACCAGGUCUUGACAUCCCAUUGACUCAUCUAGAGAUAGGUGUUUCCUUCGGGACAAUGGAGACAGGAGGUGCAUGGCC